AAUAGUUAUACAUGUAUGAAUCAAAGGCCUGCUCUGAUAUCAAUUGAAUGGAAGAAAAACUAUUAAUGUACAUGAAUAAGAAUCAAAUCUUUAUCUAGAUAGUAAUGGAAUAGAAGAUCCAAUCUCUAAAAAUCUAAAAUCAACCUUCACAGAGGCUUGGAUGUGCAGACCAUCUACUUCGCAUGCACACCAGAUAAUGCAGAAAAGUAGGAUGAACUCCGAUCAAAUCACCUUCACAACCCAACC
RNAcentral lists this long non-coding RNA (246 nucleotides) under Elaeis guineensis (African oil palm). Its description in RNAcentral is "long non-coding RNA (EGUI_LNC034166)". Lineage: Eukaryota; Viridiplantae; Streptophyta; Magnoliopsida; Arecales; Arecaceae. The record is from RNAcentral.